Molecule: ribosomal RNA, 216 nt
Filed under: Glomeromycotina sp.
Lineage: Eukaryota; Fungi; Glomeromycota
Description: partial small subunit ribosomal RNA
Rfam family: Eukaryotic small subunit ribosomal RNA (bases 44-216)
Source: RNAcentral
GGGUCAGUAGGUUGGUCGUGCCACCGGUACGUACUGGUCUCACUGAUUCCUCCUUCCUGAAGAACCGUAAUGCCAUUAAUUUGGUGUUGCGGGGAAACAGGACUGUUACUUUGAAAAAAUUAGAGUGUUUAAAGCAAGCUAACGCUUGAACACAUUAGCAUGGAAUAAUGAAAUAGGACGAUCGAUCCUAUUUUGUCGGUUUCUAGGAUUGACGUA